AGGAGCGGCGGGUGACGUGGAAGCCGGGCACUGGCUUGAAUGACAGGCAGGGUGGCGGCGGCGGCAGCCGGCUACAGCGGAGGGCCAGGUUUUGUCACUCCUGUAGGCCCCGUAAUACUCCCGCCGGAUAGCUGGGAGAGCGGGAGAGACGUGUGCCGUCUCCUUCACAAAUAACACGUGGCUUGUGUCCCGCCUAACGGGGUGGCAAUGAAGGCCGGAGCUAGGCUGAUUAAGGAGAGAAAAAGCAGGAAGAAGGAGCCAGUUGAUGUAGCUGCCAAAACAAGGCGAGGCCCGGAGUUGGGGCCUGUGCUGUGAUGAACAUGGCAAAGUCCCUGACAGGAAAAAGGAAGCUCGUUUGGGAGAGUAGUGCUGGUGGAGGGACAAAGGUCUCAGCUCAGUCACGUCGGUUGUCAGAAGCCACAUGGGGAUCUGUACUCCUCUGAGUGCUCCUCUUGUGCCCUUCUUCAACGCCUCCUUCAGCUGUGGUUGAUUGAAGACAUGGUGUUGAAUUGCUGCCACCAAAAGGGGUGGUUCUGCUCCCUCCAGAGCCAUUGUCCUUGGCAUCACUCUUGUCAAGCCCUUUGAGAGCGAAGUCAUCCUCACGUAUCCUAGCCUGCUGACUGAAUUGUCUACUGCAAUUUCAGAAGCCACAGUGGAAAGAGUUUCUUCAUGUAAACAAGCCUGUUCACACACACAAGAGAGAAGUAGUCACUCCAGUGUUGGUGAAUCCCUCUGAGCAGCUUCUCAGACACUCUAAGGCUGUACUCUUGAAGUCGUGCACCCAUAGCUGAGAAGUCCAAAGUGGUUUUAAGAAUAUUUUAACAUUUUUCUAAGUACUGAAAUGUAUUGUUCAUGAAUUGGUCUGACUGUGUGCUGUGUUGCUAUGAGAGUGUCUGAGAAAGAAGGGAGAGGCUAGAAAUUGUUUUCAAGUGGUUUAUUGACUAUUAAACUCAUAGCUAGAAUAAAAGCAGCAGCUAAUAACCUGAUCCUUGUGUUACAACAGUGCACAGUCUCACCUUCUCCCUUCCUGCAUUGUAUUUCCUAUCUAGGUCACUGUGCAGUUCAAGGCUGUUGAUUUUCCAGAUAAUGUUUCCACGCAUUGCCCCAGACAUGGUGAUGACAGGCAGGUUUUCAGACUGUUGAUGCAAAUCAUUAGUGUCCUGGCACAACUUUUACCUUCUUCCUUGCUGGUUUGGUGCCUGGUAUGGGUUUCCCAGCCUUAUGGAUGGCAUUGGCUAUACUGACAUCUAAACAGCUUUGUAGAUAAAGCCAUCUUGCUGUCAGCCUGUUAAACAUAGACUCCGUCACUACCCUGCAACUGCUGUGUAAUUAAAUGUUCUACUAGGCAUACUUUGGCUUAAUGAGUUUUAUGAGUCAUGGUGGCAAAGAGAAAGGAGAGUCCCCAAAAACAAGAAUGGGCACAAACACCCUCUUGAUAAUUAUCUUUUUUAGAGAGUAAGGUUCUUGCUUGUACAAAGAAGUCAACAGCAGGUCUCCUUGGAUCCCUUGUCAGAGAAUCUCACACUAAUGCCUGCUAAGGUAACCGGAGAAAGUGAUUUUUCAGUUCUGAAUUUCAUAAACCAGUUGUACAGGCAGUUGCAAGAAAGUGGUUUGUUUGUGGCAUCUUGAUUUGAGAGUGCUUGAGAAGGAAGGAAGAGGUGAGAACUUGCAAAUUCUGUGCUCUCAUAAGCUCAACCCCAAACCCAUCUACACCACAGGACAUGUAUCACACACAGGAGGGGAGCAGUGCUAAGCCCCAGUACUCAAGACCUGAGCAUUGAAAGCAUCACCAAAACCAUUUCUCACCAGCUGCAAGCAACUAGGGGCAUGCAAACUGCUGGCAUGAGAAGGAGCUCAGUGGUAUCAGGCGCUUGUGUGCUGAGACAGAGGGAAUGCACCCUACAUGGCCAGGACCAUCCACACCCCCUGCUUUCACACCCUGUUGUUCCAGGAGGGAGGGACUGUGCCCCUGGCAGUGUGUGCAGGGUGGUGUGGCUCUGCUUGGCCCCUGCUGGACCUCAAUGGAACCUUCUCCUUGACUGCCAGUGGGGGGAAGAGGCAGUCGAGGAGCGUGUAGAGAUGAAAAAGUGUUUGGCACAUCUGGAGUCCCUCUGACCAGACUCACCCUCUUGGUGUAGCUUGCACUGAAUACAAGCCAAAGUCAGCUCCUGGGUGCAUGGGGCAAUUCAGCAGAGGUGCCUAAGUCAGUCUGUAAACUCCAGCUGAGGAGAUUACCACUCACUCAGCCAGCACUCAGGCACACACACACCCCACCAGCUUUCCUUGACCUAUUUACUGGCACUGAACUAGAUACAGGCAGACCUUGCUUUGAUUCAGAGGACCAGGGGAAGCAUGUACAGUUUUGCUGACACAUCUGGGAGGGUUGUGGUGAUUAGGAGGAGAAUGGUAACAGCCAGGGUGGGAUUGGAUUGGGGUACUGACACUUCAACAACAGCUGGAAGAAGACUUGAGUCUCCAGCCUGGUCCACAUGGCUGCUUACAGGCUGUGCUUGCAGACAGGCUAUGACUGCACAAGCAGGGCUUUGAGUAGAGCUGUUCCCUCCCUUCCUUUCCCCAUGCUGCCCCAGGGUGCUGCAGCUGCCCCAGCAGCCUGCCUGCCCCUCCCAUGGCUGCCCUUGUCUCCCCUGGGGCUGAGCCUGGUGUGCUCAUGCAGGGACUGCUUCUGCUGAGCCGGCUCGUGUCCAGUGCUUGCAGAAGCACACAGCACAAAUGGCAGGGCUCGGUGCUGUUCCCCACAUGGGACAAGGAUCAGUCUCAGCUGCAGCCCCUCUGCUUAGCUUGGCCUUUCACCUUAAGCUCUUCAUCUCUCUGGGUCCUGUUGCAAAUGCUGAACUACACCCUUAAUACCCCUCAGCAGGGAUGGAGGGUUAAAUCAGAUGAAAGAUUAGAGUAUCUUAGCAGGAGAUACGCUUAACUAAGGGUCCUGGGUCUUUAACUAAAGUCUAAAAUGCCCCCAAGCACCCCUGGUGGUGCCAAGACUUGAUGAGCAGCUGCCUGUGUGAGCUUCUGGUCCCUGUUCAUAGUCAGAUCUGCUGCUGUCUGUUCAAGACCAGGACACCAACUUCAUUUGAUGGGCAUCCUAACCCAUAGGCAAGAGAAGGUGGCACAUGAAAUACUUUGCAAAACCCUGCAAACCUGAAACAAAUGUCUGACCUGCAGAGUGGGAUUCACAAAGCCUGUUCCUCAGACUUUGACACAGAGUUUCUUGCUUCUCACCUUUUCAGUCCUCCAGGCACUUUUUGAGGUAGCCACCAAAGCAUAUGCUUGAGGUGCUGGCAGAAAAGAGAGCCCUGUGCAAGCAGGAAACGUGGUCUGUAUAUGAAAGCAUGGGAGGUCUGGCAUACAGCACCUUCAGUUUGUACAUCACAGAAAAAGAUGAAAAAACAGUAAAUAAAUCUGUCUGCUUGAUUGGAGAUUGAAACUUGGUAGUGUGAAUUAGUAUAAUUUAAUUUUCAUCACUUUCUUUUAUAAGCGCCAAAGUUCUGCAUCUCAUACGACUUACAAUCUUUAUGGGCUUCAUUUCUGAUCUUUUUGUAAAUGUUGGUAUAUCCAUGCUAUUUUUAAUCUUGCAGACUGUUUUAGGGUAAUAUCUACAAGAUACAGUCCGUUUUUUAGCCAGCCUGGUAGCCCAAACUGUGCCAGACUCUCCUUCUCUUAUACCUUGAUUGCUGCAACAUCCUUUCUCUGGUUGUGAGACACACACUCAUUGACCCUGCAGCUGCAUACAUAUUCACAGGGCUGCUACAAAAGUUGUUUUCUUUGCUUGCCGUUUUG
This is a long non-coding RNA of Prinia subflava (tawny-flanked prinia), 3795 nucleotides long. RefSeq lists it as uncharacterized. Lineage: Eukaryota; Metazoa; Chordata; Aves; Passeriformes; Cisticolidae. The record is from RefSeq and is a predicted model, not a curated record. The transcript is spliced from 3 exons.